RNAcentral lists this non-coding RNA (192 nucleotides) under Gemmiger sp. An120. RNAcentral describes it as "6S / SsrS RNA". It matches the Rfam family "6S / SsrS RNA". Rfam says of the family: E. coli 6S RNA was the first non coding RNA to be sequenced, but its function was unknown until recently. It consists of 184 nucleotides that fold into an extended hairpin structure with a large single-stranded internal bulge. The record is from Rfam by way of RNAcentral. Lineage: Bacteria; Bacillati; Bacillota; Clostridia; Eubacteriales; Oscillospiraceae.
GGCAUCCUGCCCGGUUCGAUUUGUUGCAGUCUGAAAAAUCCUACUAAUCAAUUAAAGGGAGCACGGGUCUCCCGGCAGAUCGCAGACCUCCCGCCCUCGGGCGGACGAAGGGAGCGUGAACCCGGGGGCAGGGCACCCACCUGCCAUACCGGUAGGUUUGAUUUGGCUGCAGACGGCCAUGGCGGGAUAGGU